Molecule: ribosomal RNA, 620 nt
Filed under: Salmonella enterica subsp. enterica serovar Typhimurium
Lineage: Bacteria; Pseudomonadati; Pseudomonadota; Gammaproteobacteria; Enterobacterales; Enterobacteriaceae
Description: partial 23S ribosomal RNA
Rfam family: Bacterial large subunit ribosomal RNA
Source: RNAcentral
AAGGCCCAGACAGCCAGGAUGUUGGCUUAGAAGCAGCCAUCAUUUAAAGAAAGCGUAAUAGCUCACUGGUCGAGUCGGCCUGCGCGGAAGAUGUAACGGGGCUAAACCAUGCACCGAAGCUGCGGCAGCGAACGUAUCACCCAAGACAACUUUACGGAGUUGACGAUUGACGGAGCGAAGCGACGUCAAAGCGUUCAUUAAAGUCGAGUUGGCUUAGGGAUACGUUCGUUGGGUAGGGGAGCGUUCUGUAAGCCUGUGAAGGUGUGUCGUGAGGCAUGCUGGAGGUAUCAGAAGUGCGAAUGCUGACAUAAGUAACGAUAAAGCGGGUGAAAAGCCCGCUCGCCGGAAGACCAAGGGUUCCUGUCCAACGUUAAUCGGGGCAGGGUGAGUCGACCCCUAAGGCGAGGCCGAAAGGCGUAGUCGAUGGGAAACGGGUUAAUAUUCCCGUACUUGGUGUUACUGCGAAGGGGGGACGGAGAAGGCUAUGUUGGCCGGGCGACGGUUGUCCCGGUUUAAGCGUGUAGGUGUGUGUUCCAGGUAAAUCCGGUUCACUUUAACACUGAGGCGUGACGACGAGGCACUACGGUGCUGAAGCAACAAAUGCCCUGCUUCCAGGAAAA